AACGAACGCUGGCGGCAGGCCUAACACAUGCAAGUCGAGCGAGAUCUUCGGGUCUAGCGGCGGACGGGUGAGUAACGCGUGGGAAUAUGCCUCUUGGUACGGAAUAGCCUCGGGAAACUGGGAGUAAUACCGUAUGUGCCCUUUGGGGGAAAGAUUUAUCGCCAAGAGAUUAGCCCGCGUUGGAUUAGGUAGUUGGUGGGGUAAUGGCCUACCAAGCCGACGAUCCAUAGCUGGUUUGAGAGGAUGAUCAGCCACGCUGGGACUGAGACACGGCCCAGACUCCUACGGGAGGCAGCAGUGGGGAAUCUUAGACAAUGGGGGCAACCCUGAUCUAGCCAUGCCGCGUGAGUGAUGAAGGCCUUAGGGUUGUAAAGCUCUUUCAGCUGGGAAGAUAAUGACGGUACCAGCAGAAGAAGCCCCGGCUAACUCCGUG
This 433-nucleotide ribosomal RNA is filed under the name uncultured bacterium. RNAcentral's name for it is "partial 16S ribosomal RNA". It matches the Rfam family "Bacterial small subunit ribosomal RNA", at positions 29 to 507 of the family's 1533-position model. The record is from RNAcentral.